This 1481-nucleotide ribosomal RNA is filed under the name uncultured bacterium. RNAcentral describes it as "bacterial SSU rRNA". It matches the Rfam family "Bacterial small subunit ribosomal RNA". The record is from RNAcentral.
AGAGUUUGAUCCUGGCUCAGGAUGAACGCUAGCGGGAGGCCUAACACAUGCAAGUCGAGCGGGAUUCACUUUCGGGUGAUGAGAGCGGCGCACGGGUGAGUAACGCGUAUGCAACCUACCUUAAACAGGGGAAUAGCCCAGGGAAACUUGGAUUAAUACCUUAUAAUAUUAUUAGACGGCAUCGUUUAAUAAUUAAAGCUCCGGCGGUUUAAGAUGGGCAUGCGUGACAUUAGUUAGUUGGUGAGGUAACGGCUCACCAAGACUACGAUGUCUAGGGGUUCUGAGAGGAUGAUCCCCCACACUGGUACUGAGACACGGACCAGACUCCUACGGGAGGCAGCAGUGAGGAAUAUUGGUCAAUGGGCGCAAGCCUGAACCAGCCAUCCCGCGUGCAGGAUGACGGCCCUAUGGGUUGUAAACUGCUUUUAUACACCAAGAAAAAUCCCCACGUGUGGGGACCCGACGGUAGUGUAUGAAUAAGCAUCGGCUAACUCCGUGCCAGCAGCCGCGGUAAUACGGAGGAUGCAAGCGUUAUCCGGAUUCAUUGGGUUUAAAGGGUGCGUAGGCGGCUUUUUAAGUCAGUGGUGAAAGUUUUCAGCUUAACGGUAGAAUUGCCAUUGAUACUGAAAAGCUUGAGUACAGUUGAGGUAAGCGGAAUGUGUAGUGUAGCGGUGAAAUGCUUAGAUAUUACACAGAACACCAAUGGCGAAGGCGACUUCCUGGCCUGUUACUGACGCUGAUGCACGAAAGCGUGGGGAGCGAACAGGAUUAGAUACCCUGGUAGUCCACGCCGUAAACGAUGCUCACUCGCUGUUUGCGAUACACAGCAAGCGGCCAAGCGAAAGCAUUAAGUGAGCCACCUGGGGAGUACGAUCGCAAGGUUGAAACUCAAAGGAAUUGACGGGGGCCCGCACAAGCGGAGGAACAUGUGGUUUAAUUCGAUGAUACGCGAGGAACCUUACCCGGGCUUGAAAUGCAUCUGACGUACCUGGAAACAGGUAUUCUAGCAAUAGCAGAUGUGUAGGUGCUGCAUGGUUGUCGUCAGCUCGUGCCGUGAGGUGUCGGCUUAAGUCCCAUAACGAGCGCAACCCUUAUCAUUAGUUGCCAGCGGGUCAAGCCGGGAACUCUAAUGAGACUGCCACCGUAAGGUGUGAGGAAGGUGGGGAUGACGUCAAAUCAGCACGGCCCUUAUGUCCAGGGCGACACACGUGUUACAAUGGCCGGUACAGAGGGUUGCUACCUGGUGACAGGAUGCUAAUCCCAUAAAGUCGGUCCCAGUUCGGAUUGGAGUCUGCAACCCGACUCCAUGAAGUUGGAUUCGCUAGUAAUCGCGCAUCAGCCAUGGCGCGGUGAAUACGUUCCCGGGCCUUGUACACACCGCCCGUCAAACCAUGGGAGCUGGGGGUGCCUGAAGUCUGCCACCGCAAGGAGCGGCCUAGGGUAAAACCAGUGACUGGGGUUAAGUCGUAACAAGGUAACCA